AGGUUACUGCUAUCGAGGUUCGACUAAGCCAUGCGAGUCGAAUGUAGCAAUACAUGGCGAACUGCUCAGUAACACGUGGACAACCUGCCCUUAGGACGGGGAUAAACCCGGGAAACUGGGUAUAAUACCCGAUAGGUCUCGAUUGCUGGAAUGCAUCGAGAUUUAAAGCUCCGGCGCCUAAGGAUGGGUCUGCGGCCUAUCAGGUAGUAGUGGGUGUAGCGUACCUACUAGCCUACGACGGGUACGGGUUGUGAGAGCAAGAGCCCGGAGAUGGAUUCUGAGACACGAAUCCAGGCCCUACGGGGUGCAGCAGGCGCGAAAACUUUACAAUGCUGGCAACAGCGAUAAGGGAACCUCGAGUGCCAGGUUACAAAUCUGGCUGUCGAGAUGCCUAAAAAGCAUUUCAUAGCAAGGGCCGGGCAAGACCGGUGCCAGCCGCCGCGGUAACACCGGCGGCUCGAGUGGUAACCGUUAUUAUUGGGUCUAAAGGGUCUGUAGCCGGCCGGAUAAGUCUCUUGAGAAAUCUGGCAGCUUAACUGUCAGGCUUUCAGGAGAUACUGUCUGGCUCGAGGCCGGGAGAGGUGAGAGGUACUUCAGGGGUAGGGGUGAAAUCUUGUAAUCCUUGAAGGACCACCAGUGGCGAAGGCGUCUCACCAGAACGGACCUGACGGCAAGGGACGAAAGCUAGGGGCACGAACCGGAUUGGAUACCCGGGUAGUCCUAGCCGUAAACGAUACUCGCUAGGUGUCGGCCACGGUGCGACCGUUGUCGGUGCCGUAGGGAAGCCGUGAAGCGAGCCACCUGGGAAGUACGGCCGCAAGGCUGAAACUUAAAGGAAUUGGCGGGGG
This 848-nucleotide ribosomal RNA is filed under the name uncultured archaeon. RNAcentral describes it as "bacterial SSU rRNA". It matches the Rfam family "Archaeal small subunit ribosomal RNA", at positions 21 to 874 of the family's 1478-position model. The record is from RNAcentral.